Long non-coding RNA from Lutra lutra (Eurasian river otter), 1184 nucleotides. RefSeq lists it as uncharacterized. NCBI's taxonomy places the organism in Eukaryota, Metazoa, Chordata, Mammalia, Carnivora, Mustelidae. The record is from RefSeq and is a predicted model, not a curated record. The transcript has 4 exons.
GGGCCGUGACGUAGACAUCCAGCGCCCCACCUCCCCCGCUCAGCCAAUCCCGGCCGCGCGCCGCUUAAAGGGGCGAUGCCGCGGCCCAGGCGAUGGCGUGGGGUCCACCGGCGUCGCGCGGCCCCGGGGAUGGCGCCUUUGUCUCCGAGGGGGCCGUUUCUGGGCCGCGGCGGCCUCCGCGUCUCAGCUCUGCGCGAGCCGAGCAGCAGCUGCCGAGGCCCCGGAAUCCUGACGCUGAAUGUGUGCGGGCAGCUCGUCCUCGGCUCGCGUUCCACCCGGCUAAAGGGGGCGCCGAGCGUCGCUCGGGGUUUCCCGUCGUUUUCUGGCCCCGGCGGGGCGGGGUUCGGCGCGUGUAACUGGGUCCACGGGCCGUUGCCGCUGCCGGGGUGGCGGGGGACGCCCGGGCCAAGGCCAGUGGAGCCUCUGCAGGCAGGAGGCCCGCGCACACCGGGAGGCCUGCGGGCCGAGGCGUAGGGGGGGUCAGCAUGGACAGAGUGGAGCAUUGACGGACAGUGUGGGAAGCAAGCGACGUCGAGAGACAGAGUUGCCCAGCGUGGGACAGCAUAGGGCAGGGGUAAGAAGAAGCUGUCCUUGGAGUAAGAGCAAGGAGAGGUUCUGGCUCAGAAACCAUAGAAUCACAGACACUGCUUUUCUAAAGACAUUGUUCGUUUUCCUCCUGUCUAGCAAGACCACAAGUCGUACGAACCCAAAAGUUUGGAUGCCACACUCUCGUGAGAGCCACCAAGGACUUGGAGGGAGACACAUUGGUUCCCCAAGAGUGGGCGGGCUGCCCCAUGAGAAAAGACACCAGAAACGGACUCAUCUGAGCCUAUGGAAACAAAGUACCUAUACCCUGAAGUGAACAGAAUUAAAAAUCCUCUUGAUAAACAGACCUCAGAGCUCUGGGCUGUUUGGUUUCAGAAUCUCUUGUCACCUACCCACCCUCUCCAUUUUGGGGUUUAAUGUUCAACGAGGUUAUCACAUGGAAAUCCAGCAAGCAAAUCUUAGGAGAUUUUCAGGCCAAAUUGUAAAACCCAUAAUGUUUACAUGGUCUAGAUAAAAUUUUAUUGUCUAUUUAUAUUUCAAUUUCCUAAAUGCCGAUAGCAAAACUGCCCUUAUAUAAACAUGAGAAGAAAUUCCCAGCACUCAAAUACUACUUUUAUCUACCUUCCCUAUCUCGAAGC